RNAcentral lists this ribosomal RNA (497 nucleotides) under uncultured bacterium. RNAcentral describes it as "partial 16S ribosomal RNA". It matches the Rfam family "Bacterial small subunit ribosomal RNA", at positions 28 to 507 of the family's 1533-position model. The record is from RNAcentral.
GAUGAACGCUGGCGGCGUGCCUAAUACAUGCAAGUCGAGCGAACAGAUAAGGAGCUUGCUCCUUUGACGUUAGCGGCGGACGGGUGAGUAACACGUGGGUAACCUACCUAUAAGACUGGGAUAACUUCGGGAAACCGGAGCUAAUACCGGAUAAUAUUUCGAACCGCAUGGUUCGAUAGUGGAAGAUGGUUUUGCUAUCGCUUAUAGAUGGACCCGCGCCGUAUUAGCUAGUUGGUAAGGUAACGGCUUACCAAGGCGACGAUACGUAGCCGACCUGAGAGGGUGAUCGGCCACACUGGAACUGAGACACGGUCCAGACUCCUACGGGAGGCAGCAGUAGGGAAUCUUCCGCAAUGGGCGAAAGCCUGACGGAGCAACGCCGCGUGAGUGAUGAAGGUCUUCGGAUCGUAAAACUCUGUUAUUAGGGAAGAACAUACGUGUAAGUAACUGUGCACGUCUUGACGGUACCUAAUCAGAAAGCCACGGCUAACUACGUG